ACUCCUGUAGCUUAACAACAAAGCACUGGCCUUGUAAGACAGAAACGGAAGAUAGAUGCUCCCCAAGAGUA
RNAcentral lists this transfer RNA (71 nucleotides) under Paleosuchus palpebrosus (Cuvier's dwarf caiman). RNAcentral's name for it is "tRNA-Pro". It matches the Rfam family "tRNA". Rfam says of the family: Transfer RNA (tRNA) molecules are approximately 80 nucleotides in length. Lineage: Eukaryota; Metazoa; Chordata; Crocodylia; Alligatoridae. The record is from RNAcentral.